GACGAACGCUGGCGGCGUGCUUAACACAUGCAAGUCGAACGGAAAGGCCUCUUUCGGGGGGUACUCGAGUGGCGAACGGGUGAGUAACACGUGAGUAACCUGCCCUUGACUUUGGGAUAACUUCAGGAAACUGGGGCUAAUACCGGAUAGGAGCUCCUGCUGCAUGGUGGGGGUUGGAAAGUUUCGGCGGUUGGGGAUGGACUCGCGGCUUAUCAGCUUGUUGGUGGGGUAGUGGCUUACCAAGGCUUUGACGGGUAGCCGGCCUGGGAGGGUGACCGGCCCCAUUGGGCCUAAGAAAGGCCCCAGACUCCAACGGGAGCAAGCGGUGGGAAUAAUUCCACAUGGGUGGAAGCCUGAUGCAGCAACGCCGUGUGCGGGAUGACGGCCUUCGGGUUGUAAACCGCUUUCGCUCAUGACGAAGCUUUGUGUGACGGUAGUGGGUAAAGAAGCACCGGCUAACUACGUG
Molecule: ribosomal RNA, 466 nt
Filed under: uncultured bacterium
Lineage: Bacteria
Description: partial 16S ribosomal RNA
Rfam family: Bacterial small subunit ribosomal RNA
Source: RNAcentral